This 744-nucleotide long non-coding RNA is filed under the name Setaria viridis. RNAcentral's name for it is "long non-coding RNA (SVIR_LNC001888)". The record is from RNAcentral. Lineage: Eukaryota; Viridiplantae; Streptophyta; Magnoliopsida; Poales; Poaceae.
GGCAGAAUAAUGAACCAGUAAGCGUGUUGACCACAGAAACGGUAGUUGACGAAGGUAUUACCAUGACAACAAAGACUAGUGCAACCAGAACUCUUUUCCAAAAAAAAGAAUGGUUCCAAUGGAUCAUUGAAUUAUGUUUCUACCCAACAACUAUUGAGGACUUGUAAUCAAAAGAAAAAACAGCAGGUAUGAAUACCAAUGUGAUUUGUCUUUGAAAUGGUGGGUAAUAUGUUUUGUAUGAUAUGUCAAUAAAGUUCAUCAAACUGAUGGGGAUCUUGUCGUCUCAAACGGCAUAUGAUAUUAUUGCAGAGUGUUCCUUAAUUUAGUUUAUAUCUUUACUAUGUCACUAUGAUCAUUUAGUUUGCACGUGAUUAGUUAUUCCAUGCACUUAAUCACCAAGGUUCCUAUAUUAAAUUAAUAAAUUAUAUGUGUGUUCAUGAAUUGCAGGAAAGCGUGGACAACCAAAAUAUUUAGAGAAAGCUUUAUGCCUAUAUGCUGGUGAUGGAUAGCUAGAAGAAUGAAGAAUUAUAGAAAUUUUUAUUGGUGACGACUGGUGCUGAUGGGCAUGAAGAGAUCAAUAAGAGAACUCAUAUUUAGUUUUAUUUUCUUAUGCCAAACAUAGUUGCAAACUUGUAGUUAGAGAUGAUGUUUUUAUUCUGCUGUGGUCAUGUUUAUUUUAGCAGUACUCUAUUCAUUGUGUUAUUACUUUGGUUGAGACAUAUAUUUGAAGUUAAUGAAGGUUUG